AGACAGUAGUCACAGCGUAGUGUACCAUAUUAAGGCAUUGUUUAGUUACUAUUUAUGAAGAUACAGUUGAAAUAGGGCCACCUGGCCAUUACAUAGCUUGCUGUACCACAAGAAGUUCACACAGCUCCUGCAUAGAUCAACAAGCAUGCCAUAUAGCUUAGGAAAGGUCAUGCUCAUGUUCUGUUCCUGUGCUCCUAAGGCAAAAUUAAACUCUGAGUAUUUAUGAAGAGAAAAAACUCAUUUAAUUUGACGUAUAAUGUGCUGUAGAGAACACUGCAAUAACCACAGCAGCUCCUGGUGGUAAGAUCAGGACAGGCUUGUUUUCUGAACAUCCUACAUUUUUAUUCUUUAUUCUAAACUAAAUCUCUUGCAUUUACAUGACUGAAGUCAAGCUGAAAUUCAUAUUCUGAAAUAAACUCUCUGUGUAUGUUCUCAGUGAGCCUGACAGGAACUUGUAUCUGUGAAGACUGUGAGGUGUUUUUGUCUCUGAAUGAUAUACAGUGGGAGGUGUGAAAGUCUUUGGAUCAGGCACAAGACUUUAUGUGGAAGCUGCUGCUCCAGUGGGACCUAAGCUGUCAGCGUACUCAGUUCUCAAACCAAACAAUGGAAAGGGCAUACUGAUGUGUCAGGCCAGAGACAUGGUUCCAAACCUGGUGAGGUUCACAUGGAAGGAUCAAAGUGACACAGAGCUGACGCUGUCAGAGACAUAUGACCUACUGGAGCAGAAAGACGAUGAGGAGGCCAGAGUGACCAGCAUGCUCAUCAUAGACCAACAGAAAGCAAGUUCUACUUCUUACACCUGCUCUGUCCAACAUGAGGAUAAGCACGAUAAAAUCAAAAUCACAGCAGAACCUUUGAAGGGCUCUGAUUCUGACCCUGUCCAACCCUGCCCGCCCCAACAAGGUUCGUUGGAGCUGGUGCACAGACUGUAUCUGUUCAAUCUCAUGUACGUGUCUCUGCUGGUGAAGAACGUGCUGUAUUUCUGUGCUGUGGGGAUCUUACUGUACAAGAGUAGAGUUGAGAACAACAAAACUUUCAGCAAAACCAGUCCAACAUCAAACCAGGACAAAUGAAGAGUUUCAGAUUGUCACAUAUAUUUCCUUUUUUUAUUGUUUUUCUUAUUUCACUUGCUAGACAGAGAGUUAAUUCUGUUAAUAACAUACUUCAACCAUCUCUUAUACAUUUACACACACCUGCAAUUUACCUUUGAUUGCAUUUAUCAUGUUUUAACUUGCUACUUUUAAAAUAUCACUUAUCAUACAGGAAUAGUUUUGCAUUGUUUUAGGAAAGUGUUAAUGUCUGAUACUGCAGUUUAAAGCAGUCUAAAUAAGUCUAAUAAUUUCUUAUUGGUAUCUGUAAUAAAGUGUCUGUUGGAUUUUUUUUCUUAUUUUUUUUUAUUGGACUUAAAAUAAAUCAAAUAAAACUCUUAUUUCAGC
This is a long non-coding RNA of Pygocentrus nattereri (red-bellied piranha), 1436 nucleotides long. The record is from Ensembl. NCBI's taxonomy places the organism in Eukaryota, Metazoa, Chordata, Actinopteri, Characiformes, Serrasalmidae.